Nymphaea colorata (pocket water lily) is the source of this 1856-nucleotide long non-coding RNA. RefSeq lists it as uncharacterized. The transcript has 2 exons. The record is from RefSeq and is a predicted model, not a curated record. NCBI's taxonomy places the organism in Eukaryota, Viridiplantae, Streptophyta, Magnoliopsida, Nymphaeales, Nymphaeaceae.
UCUAUUUAAGUCCUGCUUUCCGCACUCGUCAUGCGCGGUGGGGAGUUAGCGCUAGCGGUCUGCCGGUUGGGAAGAACCGACCGCCAUGGCGAGCGUAGGGGACUCUUUCGUUGGGAGGAAGAAGAAGAGUUGCAGAGUUGAUCUUCAUAGCUAAAAUUGUACGCCUCUCUCCCACUAUUUCUUUAGGAGAAGGCUUCCUGUUGGUUGACUCUGGUUGCAACUUUAUGGGUGAUUGGUGGGAGCGUGCUUUCAGAGAUGAGGGCGAGAAGGAGGGAUGUCCUGCAAUUGGAGAAUAUGGAUCAGGUCACCCUGCGGGUGACUCGCUCAACGACCACUUUUCUGAUUGGUAUUAAAACAGGACGGUGGAAGCAAACACUAUGAGUCAUAAUGCACACGGAUGCGUGUGAGACUUUGUGUUUGUAACGUUUAGGGUGUCACCCGCGGAAUGUCCUUAUCCUCUCUUGUGGUUGAGUGCUCGCGCAUGGUGUCGACAUAUUUCAUUCCUCUCUUCUUUUUUGUCCGUUUAUUUCCUUGUCUCCGUUUAGUAGCUUUUCUAGAUUUGCAAAGUAGACGGCAGAGUGUCGUUUCUCCAUCCGCUUCUUUUGCUUGUCACAGGGAUUUUCAGUUCCUUGAUGACACGUUCCCUAGAAGCGAUAGUGAAUUAGUAGCUCCUCGUUCUAUCACUGUGAAGCGGCCUAAUUAUCAUGCUGCUUUCCGAUCGAUGGAGCUUUGAUAUAUCCCUAUUAGAUUAAUUUGAUUUUGGGUCUCCUUUCUCUCCUUUUGGUAUUUUUCUUAUGUCAAUGCUUCUUAAUCUGGUCAUUUAGAUCCUUCGGUAUCCAAUUGACUCGUUCCCUUGAAGCAAGAGUAAGGGCUUUAUUCUGCUUUUCUUCCUAUCUGAAUUUUUUAAUAUUUCAGAUGCCUCGGAGUGAGCUUACACUGCUUUUUGCUGUCAUUUUUUAUUUCAAAUCCUUGGCGGUCCGUUCACAUUAUUUUCUUUCUCCCAUUAAUUCCUUUUGAUGAUCAUGCACCGGUGAUGACCACUCAUAGACCUGUAAUGAUGGCGAAGAUGAUCGCAGUAAAUGAACAUCUAAGGGACUGAGGUGCAUGUUUGAUUGUUUUCCUUUUAGGUGUAUUUUUUGUUAAAUAUGAUCUUUCUUUGUUUUCCGAAAUCCACUGUAAACGGAUGUUUUUGAAUUUUAUUCAACGAAAACUUUUACGGAGAAAUAUGACGGCACCUUUGGAACAUCUUGGGUUGCUUCCUACGUGUUUGUCGCUGCUUGGGUACCGUCUUUUGUGGCUUAUUGAAGCGAAGCAAAGAGAGAAUGCUCCCCUCGCUAUCCACUUGCACCUCUAUGUGCAUUUGGACGUUGGGGUGCUACACAGUGGCUGAAAUAAUUUGAACCUGACUUAAUGUUCUAGAUAGUCUUGGUGAAUAAAGCGAUGACCUAGUGUGAAUCCUGUUCAUCGUAGUCUUAUGUUGAAACACUAUUUGAGGUGUUCAACCUGACGCCUUUACGUUCUUCUUAACAAAUCUUUCAACUAUGCGGCUGUUUAUUAGGUUUGACUUUGCUAGAUAUUUCAAACGAAGGUUGCUGCCUCGAUCUAUGCUAGAUUCUUGUUUCACGGAGCCUGAGUGGAUUGUCUUCUAUUUGUUGAGAAGAACGUGGCGGGGGCGGACUUGUUGUAUCUUCCCACUGCGGAUGCUUCGUUUUCUUUGUAUCUAAUGAGGAUUUCCUGUGCCUUCAUAGCUGAAGGCUGUAAGGUAGUUUGAUGCGAUAACUUUGUACCAUGACUAUAGUUUGUAACAGACAUGCUCCAAUGUAAAAAUCUCCAAUCUAUUUGCCAGAUUUAAUCAA